This 29-nucleotide non-coding RNA is filed under the name Mus musculus (house mouse). The record is from RNAcentral. Lineage: Eukaryota; Metazoa; Chordata; Mammalia; Rodentia; Muridae.
UCCUAGGGCCACAUUUAGCUGAUAACUUU